GAUGAACGCUGGCGGCGUGCUUAACACAUGCAAGUCGAACGGAAAGGCUCCUGCUUGCAGGGGUACUCGAGUGGCGAACGGGUGAGUAACACGUGGGUGAUCUGCCCUGCACUUCGGGAUAAGCCUGGGAAACUGGGUCUAAUACCGGAUAGGACGAUGGUUUGGAUGCCAUUGUGGAAAGUUUUUCGGUGUGGGAUGAGCUCGCGGCCUAUCAGCUUGUUGGUCGGGUAAUGGCCUACCAAGGCGUCGACGGGUAGCCGGCCUGAGAGGGUGUACGGCCACAUUGGGACUGAGAUACGGCCCAGACUCCUACGGGAGGCAGCAGUGGGGAAUAUUGCACAAUGGGCGCAAGCCUGAUGCAGCGACGCCGCGUGGGGGAUGACGGCCUUCGGGUUGUAAACUCCUUUCGCUAGGGACGAAGCGCAAGUGACGGUACCUGGAGAAGAAGCACCGGCUAACUACGUG
Molecule: ribosomal RNA, 465 nt
Filed under: uncultured bacterium
Lineage: Bacteria
Description: partial 16S ribosomal RNA
Rfam family: Bacterial small subunit ribosomal RNA
Source: RNAcentral